ACGUAGGGGGCAAGCGUUGUCCGGAAUGAUUGGGCGUAAAGGGCGCGUAGGCGGCCAUUUAAGAGUGGAGUGAAAGUCCUGCUUUCAAGGUGGGAAUUGCUUUGCUAACUGGAUGGCUUGAGUGCAGGAGAGGUUAGUGGAAUUCCCGGUGUAGCGGUGAAAUGCGUAGAGAUCGGGAGGAACACCAGUGGCGAAGGCGACUAACUGGACUGUAACUGACGCUGAGGCGCGAAAGUGUGGGGAGCGAACAG
RNAcentral lists this ribosomal RNA (251 nucleotides) under uncultured bacterium. Its description in RNAcentral is "partial 16S ribosomal RNA". It matches the Rfam family "Bacterial small subunit ribosomal RNA", at positions 525 to 775 of the family's 1533-position model. The record is from RNAcentral.